This 442-nucleotide ribosomal RNA is filed under the name Pseudomonas sp. oral taxon D11. RNAcentral's name for it is "bacterial SSU rRNA". It matches the Rfam family "Bacterial small subunit ribosomal RNA", at positions 30 to 472 of the family's 1533-position model. Lineage: Bacteria; Pseudomonadati; Pseudomonadota; Gammaproteobacteria; Pseudomonadales; Pseudomonadaceae. The record is from RNAcentral.
AUUGAACGCUGGCGGCAGGCCUAACACAUGCAAGUCGAGCGGUAGAGAGGAGCUUGCUCCUCUUGAGAGCGGCGGACGGGUGAGUAAUGCCUAGGAAUCUGCCUGGUAGUGGGGGAUAACGUUCGGAAACGGACGCUAAUACCGCAUACGUCCUACGGGAGAAAGCAGGGGACCUUCGGGCCUUGCGCUAUCAGAUGAGCCUAGGUCGGAUUAGCUAGUUGGUGAGGUAAUGGCUCACCAAGGCGACGAUCCGUAACUGGUCUGAGAGGAUGAUCAGUCACACUGGAACUGAGACACGGUCCAGACUCCUGCGGGAGGCAGCAGUGGGGAAUAUUGGACAAUGGGCGAAAGCCUGUAUCCAGCCAUGCCGCGUGUGUGAAGAAGGUCUUCGGAUUGUAAAGCACUUUAAGUUGGGAGGAAGGGCAGUAAAUUAAUACUUUGC